This 279-nucleotide signal recognition particle RNA is filed under the name Microcebus murinus (gray mouse lemur). RNAcentral describes it as "Metazoan signal recognition particle RNA (ENSMICG00000044826.1)". It matches the Rfam family "Metazoan signal recognition particle RNA". Rfam says of the family: The signal recognition particle (SRP) is a universally conserved ribonucleoprotein. Lineage: Eukaryota; Metazoa; Chordata; Mammalia; Primates; Cheirogaleidae. The record is from RNAcentral.
GCCUGUGGCACCAGCUACUCGGGAGGCUGAGGUGGGAGGAUGGCUUGAUCCCUGGAAUGCUGGGCUGUAGUGUGCUAUGCGAUUCUGGUGUCUGCACUAAGUUUGGCAUCAAUAUCAUGACCUUUGGGAAUGGAAGACCCCCAGGUGGCCUAAUGAGGGCUGAACUGGCCCAGGUUGGAAAUGGAGCAGGUCAAAAUUUCUGUGCCGAUGAGUAGUGGGAAGGUGCCUAUGAAUAGCCACUGCACUCCAGCCUGGGCAACAUAACAAGACCCUGUCUCU